AAUAGAUACCCUGGUAGUCCACCCCGUAAACGUUGGGAACUAGUUGUGGGGUCCAUUCCACGGAUUCCGUGACGCAGCUAACGCAUUAAGUUCCCCGCCUGGGGAGUACGGCCGCAAGGCUAAAACUCAAAGGAAUUGACGGGGACCCGCACAAGCGGCGGAGCAUGCGGAUUAAUUCGAUGCAACGCGAAGAACCUUACCAAGGCUUGACAUAUAGAGGAAACGGCUGGAAACAGUCGCCCCGCAAGGUCUCUAUACAGGUGGUGCAUGGUUGUCGUCAGCUCGUGUCGUGAGAUGUUGGGUUAAGUCCCGCAACGAGCGCAACCCUCGUUCUAUGUUGCCAGCACGUAAUGGUGGGAACUCAUGGGAUACUGCCGGGGUCAACUCGGAGGAAGGUGGGGAUGACGUCAAAUCAUCAUGCCCCUUAUGUCUUGGGCUUCACGCAUGCUACAAUGGCCGGUACAAAGGGCUGCAAUACCGUAAGGUGGAGCGAAUCCCAAAAAGCCGGUCCCAGUUCGGAUUGAGGUCUGCAACUCGACCUC
RNAcentral lists this ribosomal RNA (542 nucleotides) under uncultured bacterium. RNAcentral's name for it is "bacterial SSU rRNA". It matches the Rfam family "Bacterial small subunit ribosomal RNA", at positions 777 to 1319 of the family's 1533-position model. The record is from RNAcentral.